GAUCCGGCUCAGGACGAACGCUGGCGGCGUGCUUAACACAUGCAAGUCGAACGGAAAGGCCCUGCUUUUGUGGGGUGCUCGAGUGGCGAACGGGUGAGUAACACGUGAGUAACCUGCCCUUGACUUUGGGAUAACUUCAGGAAACUGGGGCUAAUACCGGAUAGGAGCUCCUGCUGCAUGGUGGGGGUUGGAAAGUUUCGGCGGUUGGGGAUGGACUCGCGGCUUAUCAGCUUGUUGGUGGGGUAGUGGCUUACCAAGGCUUUGG
RNAcentral lists this ribosomal RNA (265 nucleotides) under uncultured bacterium. Its description in RNAcentral is "partial 16S ribosomal RNA". It matches the Rfam family "Bacterial small subunit ribosomal RNA", at positions 15 to 279 of the family's 1533-position model. The record is from RNAcentral.